Long non-coding RNA from Oxyura jamaicensis (ruddy duck), 889 nucleotides. RefSeq lists it as uncharacterized. The transcript is spliced from 3 exons. The record is from RefSeq and is a predicted model, not a curated record. Lineage: Eukaryota; Metazoa; Chordata; Aves; Anseriformes; Anatidae.
CUGAGUUCAAAGACUUUACUUGAACUGCAUUUGCUAGUGCUUACGUGAUUCUCUCUGUUGCCUAAAGUUCAACUUGUACUAAAGGCAUGGUAGCAGGUGAGGGAAAAGGAGCAGUUUGGCAGGGCCAGUGGAGUCCAUUACCCUCUCGGCUCGCUUCCAAGCAGUGGUUUCUGAUGGGAAAACCUAGAGAAGAGCUCAUGGUUAUUAUUACCACUAAUAGAGCUUUUCCUGCAGGAGAGCUGGAGGCAUUAGGUCAUGGAUCGGGUGCUGCGCAUCGUGCUGCGAAAUGUGGAUCACAUCCCGUGUUUUCCCCCAUAGAUUUUAUCUUCUGAAUAGAAAAUGUCUUUUUUCUUUGUCAGUCUUCCUCAGGACAGAGUACUUGACUGGACCGGAAAUGUUAUACAACAAGAAUUACCUGUUCUGUUAACAUUUACAUUUAUAUAAAAGUCAGACAAACAGUGUCCAUGACACCGUUUCUGACUGUGCCACAAAUUCUUCCAGUUACUGUGUAUGUGUAAUCAACAGUUUUACUUUGAUCUUAUUAUUAUGUAUGACUCGAUACAUACAAUCCUCUUAAUUGCUUCUAGGUUUAUUUCUUAAAGAACAGUGAAUUGCUCUGAACAUUGCACCUAAGUCUAAAAUAAUGUGUGAGUAUUAAUGGGCUGUGGUUCUGUUUACGCAUAUACACCGUGCAGUUUUCACACUGACUGUGUUUCCCUUUUAUACUAUAUUUUUUUAAUCCGUUUUCAGCCACAGAGGAUUUAAUUCCACUUUACAAAAGUCUUGUCUGAACCCUCAGAUUAAGCUGAAAAGGUGCCAUGAAAUAUUGAAAAAGAGGAAAAAAUAGAAACAUAGCUCAUCAUUAGCUAACUGCAGGAUGCUACAAAAA